This 73-nucleotide transfer RNA is filed under the name Amycolatopsis saalfeldensis. It matches the Rfam family "tRNA". From Rfam's summary of the family: Transfer RNA (tRNA) molecules are approximately 80 nucleotides in length. Their secondary structure includes four short double-helical elements and three loops (D, anti-codon, and T loops). Lineage: Bacteria; Bacillati; Actinomycetota; Actinomycetes; Pseudonocardiales; Pseudonocardiaceae. The record is from Rfam by way of RNAcentral.
UCCCUUGAGGUGUAAGAGGUUGCACACCCGGUUGUUACCCGGGAGGCACCAGGUUCGAGCCCUGGCGGGGGAG